Molecule: ribosomal RNA, 480 nt
Filed under: uncultured bacterium
Lineage: Bacteria
Description: partial 16S ribosomal RNA
Rfam family: Bacterial small subunit ribosomal RNA
Source: RNAcentral
AUGAACGCUGGCGGCGUGCUUAACACACGCCAGUCGAACGAAGCAUUUGCGACAGAUUUUUUCGGAAUGAAGUUGCUUAUGACUGAGUGGCGGACGGGUGAGUAACGCGUGGGUAACCUGCCUUGUACUGGGGGAUAGCAGCUGGAAACGGCUGGUAAUACCGCAUAAGCGCACAAUGUUGCAUGACAUGGUGUGAAAAACUCCGGUGGUAUAAGAUGGACCCGCGUCUGAUUAGCUAGUUGGUGAGAUAACAGCCCACCAAGGCGACGAUCAGUAGCCGACCUGAGAGGGUGACCGGCCACAUUGGGACUGAGACACGGCCCAGACUCCUACGGGAGGCAGCAGUGGGGAAUAUUGCACAAUGGAGGAAACUCUGAUGCAGCGACGCCGCGUGAGUGAAGAAGUAAUUCGUUAUGUAAAGCUCUAUCAGCAGGGAAGAUAGUGACGGUACCUGACUAAGAAGCUCCGGCUAAAUACGUG